Molecule: ribosomal RNA, 1985 nt
Filed under: Triticum aestivum (bread wheat)
Lineage: Eukaryota; Viridiplantae; Streptophyta; Magnoliopsida; Poales; Poaceae
Description: partial small subunit ribosomal RNA
Source: RNAcentral
CUCCCCCGCCGUCGCUCUCGUCCUGCCGAGAUUCCGCACGAGCUCAACUGCCAGCGAGCUCUCACCGCCACUCGCUGCCCCGCCCGCCCGCCAGCCAGCCAGCUACAAGAUCGCCCGCCGCCUCUUCUUCUCCUCUUGCAAGCUGAGCCACUCCGCUUCCUUCUGGCUCAGAUCUCUCCUCCAACUCCGAGAGUGCCCCCGGUGGCGCCCCUCCUCCGCCCCCGGACCGUCAUCCCGCAGGUGUGAGACCGGUGCAUUGCUUGGUUGACCCCUACUUCUGGAAAUGCUUGAUUCACUUAUUAGCCAUGACCCAAAGGUGUUGACUGAGAAGAAGCCUGAUGAGAUAAUUGCGACUGGUGUUGUUGAAAGUCUGCAGAAUUUUCUGCGCAAGUGCAUCAUAGCUGUCCUCUCAUAUGGCCCGAUGCCUAAACACAUCGCGUUUAUUAUGGACGGGAACCGCAGAUAUGCCAAGUCCAGAAGUAUCAAGCAAGGCACCGGUCACAGCGUGGGGUUCGCUGCUCUAAUGGCAAGUCUUAUCUACUGUUACGAGAUGGGUGUCAAGUACAUCACGGUGUAUGCAUUCAGCAUCGACAAUUUCAAACGUGACCCUAGCGAGGUCAAGACCUUGAUGGAAUUAAUGGAGGAAAAGAUCAACGAGCUGUUGGAAAACAAGAAUGUCAUCAACAAGGUUAACUGCAAGAUCAACUUCUGGGGGAACCUGGACAUGCUUCCCGAACCAGUGCGGUUGGCAGCCCAGAAGCUGAUGGCGAGCACCGCCGAGAACACAGGACUGAUCUUCUCCGUCUGCAUGCCGUACAAUUCGACCUCCGAAAUCGCCAACGCCGUCACCGAGCUCUGCAAAGAACGGAGGGAUAUGAUGCAGGGGCAGCAGGCCAGUGGCCGCAACGGCCACCCCGCAAAUGGCGGUGCACAUUUGGAUAUCUCGGUGGCCGACCUGGACCGCCACAUGUACACCGCUGGCUGCCCGGACCCGGACAUUGUGAUCCGGACCUCGGGCGAGACCCGGCUGAGCAACUUCCUCCUGUGGCAGACGACGUUUAGUCAUCUGCAGAACCCGGACCCCCUCUGGCCUGAGUUCUCCUGGAGGCACCUCGUCUGGGCGAUACUGCAGUACCAGAGAGCCUACCCGUACAUCGAGCAGAACAAAGGUCUGGCAAAGAAGCAGCUGUGAGUGAGGGAUCUCAUCUCCUUCGCAAGGAGAUAUAUGUAGAUGGUCAUCCAGAAGACACAAUAAUAACAGACAGGGCUGGCAGAGAAGCGUCAGUCUGUGAAUAAGGGAUCUGAUCUCCUUUGGGAGGAGAUAAGCAGAUACCAAGAAAAGAUAGUUACAGCAACAUGUUGGAAGUUUGCCCUUGCUAUUUUUCGUGUAUGAGAGGAGUAUAAUUAUGGGAGCCAUGUGUAUUAUGAUGUACAAUUCUCCGUUUUACUGUCGUGUUAAAUUAAACGUUGGCAAUGGCUUGCCACUUCGCCUGAAUAAGGAGCCAAAUCGAGGAAAUUGUAAAGCGUCACAAUAUAUAUUCAGUACUCAUUUGUACUCCCAAGGCAUAUAAUUCACAUUUGCCUCGUUUUCAUAGCUACUUACAAGAAGCUUGUUGUGAAGGACUCUUGUUAUUAAUGCUAUCUGCUAUGGUGCUAAGUUUAUGAUUCCUGGAUGGCUCCGGUUUGAGAAUGACAUUGAUGUUGGGGAAGUGGUUGUUCUCAUGACGACCAAGGGGGAGGUGAUUGCCAUUGGUAUCGCUGAGAUCCCAACUGCUGUUAUGGCGACUGAUGACCAUGGCGCGGCAGCGAAGAUCAAGAGGGUGGUCAUGGACAGAGGCACAUACCAGGAAAUGGGAACUUGGUCCGGUGGCAGCGUCCGAAAGAUGAUGAACGAGGGCUCCUUGAUAAGCAUGGGAAACCAACUGAGAAGACCCCAGCUGAGUGAAUAUUCAAUCCCGAGCCUAAGGCUCAUCUGCACCCGGUGA